Molecule: non-coding RNA, 45 nt
Organism: Myotis brandtii (Brandt's bat)
Lineage: Eukaryota; Metazoa; Chordata; Mammalia; Chiroptera; Vespertilionidae
Source: Rfam
AAAACGGCUCUUUUCAGAGCCACCACUGGUCUCAAAAGAGAGCUG